AGAGUUUGAUCCUGGCUCAGAACGAACGCUGGCGGCAGGCCUAACACAUGCAAGUCGAACGAUAAGCCACCUUCGGGUGGUGGACAGUGGCAGACGGGUGAGUAACGCGUGGGAACGUGCCUUUCGGUUCGGAAUAACUCAGGGAAACUUGGGCUAAUACCGGAUACGCCCUUCGGGGGAAAGAUUUAUCGCCGAAAGAUCGGCCCGCGUCGGAUUAGCUUGUUGGUGGGGUAAAAGCCCACCAAGGCGACGAUCCGUAGCUGGUCUGAGAGGAUGAUCAGCCACACUGGGACUGAGACACGGCCCAGACUCCUACGGGAGGCAGCAGUGGGGAAUAUUGGACAAUGGGCGCAAGCCUGAUCCAGCCAUGCCGCGUGGGUGAAGAAGGCCCUAGGGUUGUAAACCCCUUUCAGCGGGGAAGAUAAUGACGGUACCCGCAGAAGAAGCCCCGGCUAACUCCGUGCCAGCAGCCGCGGUAAUACGGAGGGGGCUAGCGUUGUUCGGAAUUACUGGGCGUAAAGCGCGCGUAGGCGGACUUUCAAGUCAGGGGUGAAAUCCCGAGGCUCAACCUCGGAACUGCCUCUGAUACUGUAAGUCUUGAGACCGAGAGAGGUGAGUGGAAUUCCUAGUGUAGAGGUGAAAUUCGUAGAUAUUAGGAAGAACACCAGUGGCGAAGGCGGCUCACUGGCUCGGUACUGA
This 699-nucleotide ribosomal RNA is filed under the name uncultured bacterium. RNAcentral's name for it is "bacterial SSU rRNA". It matches the Rfam family "Bacterial small subunit ribosomal RNA", at positions 8 to 743 of the family's 1533-position model. The record is from RNAcentral.